AACGAACGCUGGCGGCAUGCCUAACACAUGCAAGUCGAACGAGACCUUCGGGUCUAGUGGCGCACGGGUGCGUAACGCGUGGGAACCUGCCCUUAGGUUCGGAAUAACUCCCCGAAAGGGGUGCUAAUACCGGAUAAUGUCUUCGGACCAAAGAUUUAUCGCCUUUGGUUGGGCCCGCGUUGGAUUAGCUAGUUGGUAGGGUAAAAGCCUACCAAGGCGACGAUCCAUAGCUGGUCUGAGAGGAUGAUCCGCCACACUGGGACUGAGACACGGCCCAGACUCCUACGGGAGGGAGCAGUGGGGAAUAUUGGACAAUGGGCGAAAGCCUGAUCCAGCAAUGCCGCGUGAGUGAUGAAGGCCUUAGGGUUGUAAAGCUCUUUUACCCGGGAUGAUAAUGACAGUACCGGGAGAAUAAGCUCCGGCUAACUCCGUG
Molecule: ribosomal RNA, 433 nt
Filed under: uncultured bacterium
Lineage: Bacteria
Description: partial 16S ribosomal RNA
Rfam family: Bacterial small subunit ribosomal RNA
Source: RNAcentral